GGGGCCCAUCCUCCAAGGCUAAAUACUCCUGACUGACCGAUAGUGAACCAGUACCGUGAGGGAAAGGCGAAAAGAACCCCGGCGAGGGGAGUGAAAAAGAACCUGAAACCGUGUACGUACAAGCAGUGGGAGCACGCUUAGGCGUGUGACUGCGUACCUUUUGUAUAAUGGGUCAGCGACUUAUAUUCUGUAGCAAGGUUAACCGAAUAGGGGAGCCGAAGGGAAACCGAGUCUUAACUGGGCGUUAAGUUGCAGGGUAUAGACCCGAAACCCGGUGAUCUAGCCAUGGGCAGGUUGAAGGUUGGGUAACACUAACUGGAGGACCGAACCGACUAAUGUUGAAAAAUUAGCGGAUGACUUGUGGCUGGGGGUGAAAGGCCAAUCAAACCGGGAGAUAGCUGGUUCUCCCCGAAAGCUAUUUAGGUAGCGCCUCGUGAAUUCAUCUCCGGGGGUAGAGCACUGUUUCGGCA
This 470-nucleotide ribosomal RNA is filed under the name Shigella sonnei. Its description in RNAcentral is "partial 23S ribosomal RNA". It matches the Rfam family "Bacterial large subunit ribosomal RNA", at positions 448 to 920 of the family's 2925-position model. The record is from RNAcentral. Lineage: Bacteria; Pseudomonadati; Pseudomonadota; Gammaproteobacteria; Enterobacterales; Enterobacteriaceae.